Molecule: ribosomal RNA, 444 nt
Filed under: uncultured Anaerolineaceae bacterium
Lineage: Bacteria; Bacillati; Chloroflexota; Anaerolineae; Anaerolineales; Anaerolineaceae
Description: bacterial SSU rRNA
Rfam family: Bacterial small subunit ribosomal RNA
Source: RNAcentral
GCACAAGCAGCGGAGCGUGUGGUUUAAUUCGUUGCUACACGAAGAACCUUACCUGGGUUUGACAUAUAGGUUGUAGGGAACUGAAAGGGACCGACCCUUCGGGGAGCCUAUACAGGUGUUGCAUGGCUGUCGUCAGCUCGUGUCGUGAGAUGUUCGGUUAAGUCCGCUAACGAGCGCAACCCUCGUCGUAUGUUAUAUGUGUCAUACGAGACUGCCGGUAAAAGCCGGAGGAAGGUGAGGAUGAUGUCAAGUCAGCAUGACCUUUAUAUCCAGGGCUACACACACGCUACAAUGGUCUGUACAAUGGGUAGCCAAGCCGCGAGGCGGAGCCAAUCCUGAAAGCAGGCCUCAGUUCAGAUUGCAGUCUGCAACUCGACUGCAUGAAGCCGGAGUUGCUAGUAACCGCAGGUCAGCAAUACUGCGGUGAAUACGUUCCCGGGUCUU